RNAcentral lists this transfer RNA (73 nucleotides) under Candidatus Zambryskibacteria bacterium RIFCSPHIGHO2_01_FULL_35_32. RNAcentral's name for it is "tRNA-Lys". It matches the Rfam family "tRNA". From Rfam's summary of the family: Transfer RNA (tRNA) molecules are approximately 80 nucleotides in length. Their secondary structure includes four short double-helical elements and three loops (D, anti-codon, and T loops). Further hydrogen bonds mediate the characteristic L-shaped molecular structure. tRNAs have two regions of fundamental functional importance: the anti-codon, which is responsible for specific mRNA codon recognition, and the 3' end, to which the tRNAs corresponding amino acid is attached (by aminoacyl-tRNA synthetases). tRNAs cope with the degeneracy of the genetic code in two manners: having more than one tRNA (with a specific anti-codon) for a particular amino acid; and 'wobble' base-pairing, i.e. permitting non-standard base-pairing at the 3rd anti-codon position. The record is from RNAcentral. RNAcentral also lists the same sequence under 1 other name. Lineage: Bacteria; Candidatus Zambryskiibacteriota.
CCGCUCAUAGCUCAGUUGGUAGAGCAGCUCCCUCUUAAGGAGAAUGUCCUAGGUUCGAAUCCUAGUGAGCGGA